Molecule: non-coding RNA, 161 nt
Filed under: bovine gut metagenome
Description: Lysine riboswitch
Rfam family: Lysine riboswitch aptamer
About the family: Riboswitches are metabolite binding domains within certain messenger RNAs that serve as precision sensors for their corresponding targets.
Source: RNAcentral
ACCAGAAGAGGCGCGGUACUCAGGCAGCAGGGCAGUGGAUGGCAGAUCCUGUACUGUCCUGCCAGGGGAUGUACCGCCGAGACAGUCAGGUUCUGUCCUGUCUGACUGUCGGCUACGGAGGCUGAAUCCUUCGAGCUGUCACUUUUGUGGAGCGCUUCUGG